GGACAGGGCAACUGCAAGAAUUUUGUUGGAGGGAUCCGUGGCCAUCCUGCACCUCCAUGACUUCCUUACGUUGAAGCCCAAUGAAUGGCUUAGCGGGGAGGUAAUUGACUUCUACCUCCAACUGAAGAGGAUUGACCUUCAAGUGGAGGGGGAUGUUUUUAUUGUGGAUCACUUUGUGGCAGGGAUUAUCCUGCAUGGGGAUAAGGUGGCAAUGCGCAAGGACACCUUGUCAAAGACCAAUCUGGAGCAGCACAGUUGCUUGAUUGGAGUUUGCAAUGUGGGAAACUACCACUGGAUUCUCUUGUAUGUCAAUCGCAGGACCCACUCUGCCAUUGUCCUGGACCCUACUGGUUACCCUAACGUGGAGAGCCAUAUGAGCGAGAACCUGGUGAAGCACAUCAGAUACUGGUUUGAGGAACAAACCGCAGAACUGGGACAGAAUCUAUUUUCAGCAAUGUUCCCUGGCAGGCGACAACAAUACCGCACACCAAGCAAAGCGACGGCUACAAUUGUGGAGUUUAUGUGCUGCUGA
This 532-nucleotide long non-coding RNA is filed under the name Salmo trutta (river trout). Its description in RNAcentral is "lncRNA (ENSSTUG00000032528.1)". Lineage: Eukaryota; Metazoa; Chordata; Actinopteri; Salmoniformes; Salmonidae. The record is from RNAcentral.